MicroRNA precursor from Cricetulus griseus (Chinese hamster), 101 nucleotides. Lineage: Eukaryota; Metazoa; Chordata; Mammalia; Rodentia; Cricetidae. The record is from Ensembl.
UUAAAGAUACCUAUCGCCGGGCAGUGGUGGCACACACCUUUAAUCCCCAGCACUUGGCAGGUAGAGGCAGGUGGAUUGCCUGGUCUACAGAGCAAGUGCUA